This 253-nucleotide ribosomal RNA is filed under the name uncultured bacterium. Its description in RNAcentral is "partial 16S ribosomal RNA". It matches the Rfam family "Bacterial small subunit ribosomal RNA", at positions 524 to 776 of the family's 1533-position model. The record is from RNAcentral.
UACGAAGGGGGCUAGCGUUGCUCGGAAUCACUGGGCGUAAAGGGUGCGUAGGCGGUUUUUUAAGUCAGGGGUGAAAUCCUGGAGCUCAACUCCAGAACUGCCUUUGAUACUGAAGAUCUUGAGUCCGGGAGAGGUGAGUGGAACUGCGAGUGUAGAGGUGAAAUUCGUAGAUAUUCGCAGGAACACCAGUGGCGAAGGCGGCUCACUGGCCCGAUACUGACGCUGAGGCACGAAAGCGUGGGGAGCAAACAGG